This is a long non-coding RNA of Rhagoletis zephyria (snowberry fruit fly), 173 nucleotides long. RefSeq lists it as uncharacterized. Lineage: Eukaryota; Metazoa; Arthropoda; Insecta; Diptera; Tephritidae. The record is from RefSeq and is a predicted model, not a curated record.
UUGCGUUCCAGAUGCUCACGAUAUUCACGAUUUGCAGGUUUUUUUUUUUGCAGGAAAGCGUUACAGGUGCCAAAAAACCUGUAAGUCAAACCACUUUUGUGAGAGUAACUUGCUCUCUCUCUCUCAGGCAGAAGUUGCAGGUUUUAGUCCGAAGUUUUUCUUCCUGCAAGUUC